ACACAAUCUUAAAAUCUUUUCCAUCUUAGAAAAAUUUUUCCAAGUAUUCUUUUGCUUUUAUUAAAACUUAUAAAAGAUAACGGAAUGUAUUUUAUAGACUGGAUAUUAUCUACUCCCCCUUCCUCCUCCAGGCUGCUCUCAGUUUAGUAGUUAUCAGUUUUUACUGUUAGAUUUAAUUAUGCAGUAUCAAAAUAUUCCCUAGUAAAUUAGCUUGCUGAAUAUUCUGUCACUAUUAUGUUUACCCCUUUGAUAAAUAGCUUAAUUACAGAAAACUAUUU
Choloepus hoffmanni (Hoffmann's two-fingered sloth) is the source of this 278-nucleotide non-coding RNA. Lineage: Eukaryota; Metazoa; Chordata; Mammalia; Pilosa; Megalonychidae. The record is from Rfam.